This is a long non-coding RNA of Micropterus dolomieu (smallmouth bass), 386 nucleotides long. RefSeq lists it as uncharacterized. The transcript is spliced from 2 exons. Lineage: Eukaryota; Metazoa; Chordata; Actinopteri; Centrarchiformes; Centrarchidae. The record is from RefSeq and is a predicted model, not a curated record.
CAACGACCCGCACCUGCAUCUCGUCAACCUCCUCCUCUGCCUGCCACACCUGCCAGCAAUGAACUCCACUUCUGCCAGUACUUCAACCCCGGUUCUCCACACUACCUCUGCUUGAUCGUCGUUGCUCCAAACCUGGUUCACUCACCCUCACCCUCAUCCUCCGUCUAAUCAGCUGUGCUCGCUCACCUGCCCUCUCCCCUCGGGCUUCCCCCCACGGCGUCCUCCCAGUCCUCCCGUGCCUCCUAUCUUCCUUGGCCCCCAGUGUCCCCCUGGCUCUCUGGUCUCAGUCUCCUCGGUUCCCCGUGCCUGCAUUUCCCCGGCAUUCACCUCUCCCUCGACUCCAGUCCCUCAACCCCUUUUUUCCCAAUAAAACCAGUUAAACCUUA